RNAcentral lists this ribosomal RNA (447 nucleotides) under uncultured bacterium. RNAcentral describes it as "partial 16S ribosomal RNA". It matches the Rfam family "Bacterial small subunit ribosomal RNA", at positions 331 to 792 of the family's 1533-position model. The record is from RNAcentral.
CCAGACUCCUACGGGAGGCAGCAGUGGGGGAUAUUGCACAAUGGGGGGAACCCUGAUCCAGCGACGCCGCGUGAGUGAAGAAGUAUUUCGGUAUGUAAAGCUCUAUCAGCAGGGAAGAAAGAAAUGACGGUACCUGGCUAAGAAGCCCCGGCUAACUACGUGCCAGCAGCCGCGGUAAUACGUAGGGGGCAAGCGUUAUCCGGAUUUACUGGGCGUAAAGGGAGCGCAGGCGGCGCGCCAAGUCUGAUGUGAAACCCCGGGGCUCAACCCCGGGCAUGCAUUGGAAACUGGCGGGCUGGAGUGCCGGAGAGGUAAGCGGAAUUCCUAGUGUAGCGGUGAAAUGCGUAGAUAUCAGGAGGAACACCGGUGGCGAAGGCGGCCUGCUGGACUGCAACUGACGUUGAGGCCCGAAAGCGUGGGGAGCAAACAGGAUUAGAUACCCGCGUA